This 1089-nucleotide long non-coding RNA is filed under the name Felis catus (domestic cat). RNAcentral describes it as "lncRNA (ENSFCAG00000048676.1)". The record is from RNAcentral. Lineage: Eukaryota; Metazoa; Chordata; Mammalia; Carnivora; Felidae.
AUGAACUGCACUCUUGGAGGCUCCUUCUCCUUACUCUUGGUGCGUGGUUCUCUACCAAGUUUUGCUCCUUCUUUUGUCCUCAGUCUCAGAAGACUCCUGGGCAUCUGUGCCUGGGGCUCUGAGCUGCUCCCACAGGGGCCCUUCCCUGCCGGAGCCCCCACCCUGCCCCAAACCUGUGCCCUGCCUCUCUUUCCCCUGACAUUCCCCAAACACUUGUUCUUUUCGUGGCUCCUACAGAAAUUAAAUUGUGCUUCUCUGCUCUGGGAAACUGCCUCAUCCGUUCCAUGGUGCAUACCAGGAGAAGGUCUUCAUUUCCCUGAGCCCACAGUGCCAGUGGGGAGCACGUGCCAGCAGGGAGCACACGCCAUCGGGACGCCCCCGUGGGGACCAGCGAGCCCACAGUGCCAGUGGGGAGCACACACACGCCAUCAGGACGCCCUCGUGGGGACGGGUCACACGGGUGGUUCUGGGACUUUUUCUGUCUCCUGGUCGAGAGAGCACGGGCUGCAGCCCGUCCUGGGUGGCGACACGUCUCUGCCCUCCUUUCCCUGUAGAAGUGCCCCUCCUUCGGCCUCUGGAGGAGGUUCUGAGUGGGACAGGUGCCUCACUGGAGCAGGAGGUCGUCGCACUGGUUACCGGGGAUUUCCUCCUUCGUGGGCAGUUGUUUGGAGUUCUCCGUGGCUCUGGUUGCCUCAGGCUAGCUGUCCAUCCGUCUGUGAAAGCCUAAAGUGCCCACUCUCUGCACAGGAACCUCGGGGGCACAGUGACAGCCUGUUCCGUCUCCCCAUAGCCCUUCUUGCCUUUGGGCACAUUCGUGGUGCACCGUGCACCUCCCACACUCAAUGCUGGCACCUGCUGUUGUGUCCUAGAGCUGCAGGGACCAGGGAGAGCUUUCUCCAGGUGACUGGGAGCCAGGAGCGGCUGCCCAGGGAAGGAGAUGGGGGAGAGAGGAGUGGUCUAGAGAAGAUGCAUUUGCAUGUGGUAGGAGCUGGUGGUAAAACAACAGGGCCUUUUGAAGGGAGAAGAGCUCUUGGAACCUCCAGCAAGAGGGGAUACCGUUAUUUGCCUGAGAAAAAUCCUGUUCUCUAA